AGGAACCACAGAAGAGAGCUUAAGACACAUGGGCAAUCUUGAGUCCGCCGACUAGCCCAAGGGAAGCUGCCCAGCUUUUCAAGGACCCAGGAUUUCUCCUCCAGAAGCCCUGCAGAGACUUCUCUUCUAGCCCUUCCCCACUGGGACUUGAUGUGGGAGCUGUGGGUUUGAGGAAAGUUGGCUAAAAUGACUGAGCUGGAUUCCAAGCUGACCAGAUUCCAUGUCUUUCACCCUUUUCCCAGCUUUGCUAGUGGAGAGGCUGAGAACAUCAACUUCAGAACUCAGAGAAGCAAACUGAUGGAGGGUGCAAAUGCCUAAGAAGGAAGAAGAGCAUGAGCGACUGCAGCCAGUCUACCGCAGGUUAAGUCCACUUACCUCUCCAAGCCAAUCUGGUCAGCAGCCCCAGCCAAGUGUCCCCGUGGGCAGGAGAGCCAGCCAUUAGAACUGAGCUGCUCAUUAACAAACCAGCAGUAGCUGCCUGCUGCCCUGCAUUCCUUUUGUCCUCUCCAGGGACCCCAACACAGCCUUUGUUUCAGAGGGAAGGCAAGCAGGUGGCCUGUCACCAGGCAGUUAUGGAUGAGGUUCUCUACCAACAAAACCAGGGGGCAGGGGCUGGCUGUGAUUACUUCUUUGAAUUUCAAAGUGAGAAACUGCUAUACAAAGAAACUACUGUGCUAGCCCCUCUGAGCCCUAAUGCUGACCAAAGCCAAAAGGUUUCAUCAAGUCCCCACUGUGUGCAGAGCAGUGAGGUUGGUGUGCUCUGAAAGAUUUGAACUGAAAAUGAAAACCAAAUACAAGCCUGUGAUCACAGCCCUGCUGUGAAGAAGCUCAUGACCACAUUAAGAGGAUAAGCUUUAGCCCCUUGGAAGAAAAUCUGGCUUGGAAUCCCAGUUCUGCCUCUAGCUGGGUAUCUUGGGGGCAAGAAAUCAACAAACCCUCAACAAGGCCCCCUCCACACUAGCAUUCUAAGGUCCUAAUCACUCCUAUUUUAUUAAUAGCACCCCCAUCAGUUCAGCUCUCUUAGCUCCUUUGUAGCAGUUCUUGUCAGGUAGGGAAAGCAGGGAUUACAGUUCCCAGUUAGCAGAUGAGACUCAGAGGAAUCAUAGAAGUUGAAUGAUUCUUCUAAAUUUGCCAAGCAAGAAUGCCUAAGCUGCACUACACAUUGCACCCCACCCCUUAAGACAGUCUCACAGCUGUCCCCAGCUCUUCAUAUAAGUUCAUUGGUCCUAGAAUGUAGCUUAUAACAGAUUUUGGUGACUUCUGUUCUGUCACCUUGACAUUUUCCCCACCUCAACUCUGUUCCUUUCGAAAUGUUGCUUUUGGAGAAAGCUAGGUUGCAACAGAGCUUACAGACAAAAUGUGGUUUCUCUCCCUGGCUACACACCCUUCCCACCUGUCUCUGGAGAGACUUCUUUUCUCUUCUGCACUUUACUACUUGUGGCUUCAGAGGGCCUUGGGCUGUCUUCCAUUGAGCACUCUGUUGACUGUGCAUUCUGGCUCUUUGUGCUUCUGAAGCCCACAGAGGGUGGAGAAACCUCCUGGGCUUUGGCCCUCUGCCUCCCUUGGCCACCACCCCUUCCCUGAAGAGAUGAAUUAUACUUGAAAGAGGCUCCCAAGCCCUGGCUACUGCUUUGAGAGAGCUAAAACAUGGCCUCAAGCUAUUUCUAAGGCUUUGUUACUCAAAUACAAGAGAUGUUUGCUCAACUGCAA
Molecule: long non-coding RNA, 1710 nt
Organism: Suricata suricatta (meerkat)
Lineage: Eukaryota; Metazoa; Chordata; Mammalia; Carnivora; Herpestidae
Exons: 3
Source: RefSeq, a predicted model, not a curated record